UUAAUUUUUAACUAGGUUAGGAGUGAAAGCAUGGACAUUCUAGGCAGAAAAUAAAAGAGAUUAAUUUUAGACUUGAUGAGUUUAUUAAAGAAAAUUAGAUUUUAAAAGUUCACCUUUCAAUAUAAUCCACAGGUUCACAGAAAAAUAAAUAAAUAAAAAACAGAAGUUCACCUAUUUGUAGUUAGCAUUGAAAAAUAUAACUAAACUAAAAUUUUAUUUUCCACUGUAACUUAAACAGGUAAAUUUUGAAAAUCUACUUUUAUAGUUCACAGAAUAGUAUUAAAAUUUAUUACAACUUACAGUUCAAACAAAAUUGUAAUUAACAGAUUAAAGAGAUGCGGUAACAUUACAUGUAUACUUUUUAAAAUUUUUAGCAAAGCAAGAAAACAAAAAGCAUCGCUGAAGAACUGGAACUCAGUAUUUUGAAAAUCAGUCACAGUCUUAAUGAACUUAAGAAAGAACUUCAUAGUACAGCGACACAGCUGGCAGCAGAUCUAUUAAAAUACCAUGCUGAUCAUGUGGUUCUAAAAGCAUUAAAACUUACUGGAGUAGAAGGAAAUUUAGAAGCUUUGGCUGAAUAUGCCUGUAAACUCUCUGAACAGAAAGAGCAGCUUGUUGAG
RNAcentral lists this small RNA (620 nucleotides) under Pan troglodytes (chimpanzee). Its description in RNAcentral is "processed transcript". The record is from RNAcentral. Lineage: Eukaryota; Metazoa; Chordata; Mammalia; Primates; Hominidae.